UUUUUUUUUCUUUUUUUCUUUUUUUUCUUUUUUUGGUCUUCUUAGGGCUGCACAUGCAGCAUAUGAAGUUCCCAGGUGAGGUGUCGAAUUGGAGCUGCAGCUGCUGGCCUACUCCACAUCUUAUGGCAAUGCUGGAUCCUUAACCCACUGAGNGAGGCCAGGGAUCAAACCCACACCCUCAUGGAUACUAGGUGAGUUUGUUAUUGCUCAGCCACAACAAGAACUCCCAGGACACUCUUAUUCCCAAUUUAUAGGCAAGGAAACCUGAGGAUAGAGUGGGUAAUUGAUUCAAUAAGGAUGCAGUCAGGGUCUUUCGAGUUUUGUCAUCUAGGCAGUGGGUGUCCUUUCUUCUUUACCUGACUUAACCUGUAUGAUUCUCCAACUAUGAUGAUGAAUUUUAUGUGUCAAUGUGACUGGACCAAGGGGUGCACCAAUUAAAUACUUCUGGGUGUGCCUGUGACAGUGUCUCUGGAUGAGAUCAAUUGUUAAAUGCGUGAGCUUGAUAAAGCAGACUGCCCUCCCCAGGGAGGGUGGGCAGUAUCCAGUAUGUUUAGGGUCUGAAUAAAACAAAAGAUGAAGAAAGGAGGAAUUUACCCCUUUUUGUUUCCUGUUUGCCUGCUUAGGCUGAGACAUCAGCCUUUUCCUGCACUUGCAAUGGGAUUUGCAGUAUCGACUCUCCCAACUCUCAGGCUAUCAUGUUUGGACUGGAAUUACACCACUGACAAUCCUGGGUGCCAGUUUGCAAAUAGCAGAUUAUAGGACUUCUCAGCCUCUAUAGUUACAUAAGCCAAUUCCUCAUAAUAAAUCCUUUCAUAUAAAUAUAUACUUCUAUUUCUUUGAUGAACCCUGAUAAUAAACCAACAUUUUGGGACUUUCGAGCUUUCUUUUGACUACCUUAAAUGCCUUCAAUAAGUAGACCAAAUUGUUUUUUCAAUAUAAAAGUCACAUGAAGUAACAUUUUUAAAGAUAUGUAUUAAAGCUUCCAGAUCUUAGGAAGACGGUGACUUAAUACUUGCUGACUCCUUCUUCAAAUUCAACCCUGGAGUAUGUGAAGAAGGAGGAGGGAAAUAUGAAUUUCUGAAGCUAAUAAAAAGCAUGUAAAUCUCAUAGGAGACAAAGAUAUUUUGAACUGGUAGAUGGGGAGUAUAUUACAUACGUUGACAAAAGGCUAGGAGAGGUAGCAGUGAGAAGGUAUUUUGGAGAAAAGCUUUUCACCUCAGCUCUUCGCUUUCCCCACAGUUAUCACCAGCCACUUGCCUGCAGAAAUACUUUUACAUUCCAGGUCAUGCAUGUUGGCAAUAAAAUAAGGCAGUGCAGGUAGAUACUAGGUAGGGAGAUACCAAAAGCAGAGGCAACCGACAAGGAACUCUUAAAAGACUACUGCUAGAACAUAGGGUGAUGCUAUGUACAUGAGGAAAAGGCACCCCUGCUGCCAGACAGGCACAGCCUCAUAUCGGAGUACACAGCUUAUGGGUGAAGGUAGAUGGCAGUGCCUGAUCCCCGUAUCUGGUAAGAAGGGGCUACUUGCUUAAUGAUGCGCAGCAGCCCUAGUCCUUUAGCAUCCUGAUCCCCACCCCUCCUCCAAAAUCAUAUGCCUGGGAGAAUUGUAAUAUUUUGAGAACAACCUAUCUCUUCUCCCCAAUAAUUCAAUUUAUAGGACAAACUCUGCCCAGGGGAGUCUCCCAGGGGAGAGGCAGUAAGAGGGGAGGACACAAAGUGAUUUUAGGGUGCCUGUGGCACUUAGGCCUUAGGGAUGAACAUACAUUAUUUGAAACACAUCUAAAUAGAUGGAAAAUAAAACUUAAUAUUUGGCCUUCCCUAGCAAGUAUUACCAUUAAGGUAGAAUAGCUAAUAGCCACAGUAGGGCAUGAGCUUACAAACCCAAAUAACUAGAAUCUAGCAAAGAAAGAUAAAAACAAGAUACCAUACACUAUCUGAACCAGAAUCAGUUGAACAAACAGAAGAGUAUAACAUUAAUAAAAGUAUACUUAAGGAGAUGUGGGAAGGUAUUAGCAAAGCAAAGCAAGGGGAAAAAAGCCAAGUGAGGAGUUCUCUUCUGGUGCAUCAGGUUAAGGAUCCAGCAUUGUCACUGCAAUGGCUCAGGUUGCUGCUGUGGCAAGUGUUCAGUCCCUAGCCCGNGAACUUCCACAUGCCUCAGAUAUGGCCAAGAAAGAAAAAGGAGAACCAAGUGCAACAUUAGAGAUGCAAAAAAAAUGUAGCUGAAAUGGAAUAAAUAAUAAGAUGGAAUAAAGCUGAAGAAAAAAUCAGUGAAUUAGAAGGUCAGAAUGAGAACUUCUUCAUAAAGCAAUAGGAAAGAAUAGAGAAAAGGUAAGAGAAAAAUUUUUAUACUAAGAAAUAUGAAGGAUCCAAGCAAAAGUACUAGCAUCCAGAGAACAGGAUUCCAGAGGAAUAGGGUAGGGAAAUGGAAAGGAGAAAAAUGUAAAGUAAUGAUGAAGACAAAUUUUUUAGGAUUAAGAAUGAUAGAAUUCUUCAAAAUGAAAAGGCUCUUAGAGGACCAAAUAGAACAGAUAAGAAAAAAUUCAUCUCCAUAGUAUAGUUAAAAUUAAAGAAUAUUAAAACUAAGAAAAAAUAUGUAAAGCUUCCAAAAUGGAAGGGUAUCUGUGGCAGAUAACAAAAAUCAGGCUAAUCCUAGAAUUUUCAAAAACACUAAAAGCAAGAUGAUAGUGUAACUUUUUUAAUAGAGAGUGCAAUAUAAUUUUCAAGAACCGAAGGCAAAAAGAGUUUCAAACAUAAAAUAUUACCAUUCAAAUACGAGGACAUGAUAAAAACAUUUUCAACCAUGUAAGACUUCAGGAGGUUGCACAUGCAAAAAAUCCUCACUAGGAGUUCCUGUCAUGGCUUAGCAGAAAACAAUCUGACUUGCAUUCUUGAAGAUAUAGGUUUAAUCCCUGGCCUUGCUCAGUGGGUUGGGGAUCCAGCGUUGCCAUGAGCUGUGGUAGAGGUCACAGAUGUGGCUCAGAUCCUGCAUUGCCAUGGCAUAGGCCAGCAACUACAGCUCUGAUUCAGUCCCUAGCCUGGAAGCCUCCCUAUGCCAGGGGUGCAGCCUUAAAAAGACCAAAAAAAAAAAAUCUUCACUAAAACCUUCUUGUAGGAUAUUCCAAUAAAAAAAAAGAUUUAUCCACAGAUGGAUUAAGAAGAUGUGGUAUAUGUAUACAAUGAAAUACUACUACUCGGCCAUAAGAAAGAAUGAAACAAUGUCAUUUGCAGCAACAUGCAACUAGACAUUCUCAUAAUAAGUGAAGUAAGUCAGAAAGACAAGUACCAUAUGCUAUAGUAAGUGGAAUCUAAACUACAGCACAAAUGAACUUAUCUACAAAACAGAAAUCAUCUCACAGACAUAGAGAACAGACCUGUGGUUGCCAAGGUGGGAGGGAGCGGGAUGGACUGGGAGUUUGGGGUUAGUGGAGGCAAACUAUUACAUUUAGAGCAGAUAAGCUGGACUUUCAGUGUGGCUCGCAGCAUGACUACUCAGUGUUGCUUCUAUAGAAUAAAUAAGCAAUGAAGUCCUUAUAGCAAAGGGAACUAUACCAAGUUUCUUGCGAUAGAGCACGAUGGAAGAUAAUAUAAGAAAGGGAAUGUAUCAAUGUAUAACUUUUCUGUACAUUAGAAAUUGGCACAACAUAGUACAUCAACUCUACUUUUAAAAAAUUAAUUAAAAAGAAGUAGAAAUGCUGCAAGAGAUAGGCCAAGUUAGCACAAUUAAGUAUAAUGGGGAGGGUGACAAGAAGACAGAGUAGAAAGCUCCUGGGCUCAUCUCUUUCCAGGGACACACCAAAACUACUCCAUGUGGAGCAAAUAUCUUUUAGAAUAACCUAAAGACCAGAAGAAAAGAUUUUACACAUCUAAGAAUAAAAAGACAAAUCCAUACCAAAACAGAUAGGAAGGCAGACACAUUCUGGCUGGGAUCCAUAACCCCAGCUCAGUGAUCCUUAUGUGGGAGAAGUAUCACAGCCACAGACGUCCUCUCUUGAGGAGCCAAAGGCUCAAACCCCACAUCAGGCUCCCCAGCCGAGAGGACCUGCACUGGAAGACAGAAUGGCUAUAGGAAACUGAAACUCCACUCUUCCAAUGAGUAACAUGCAAAAAGUCACACUUCAAGUCCCAGCACAGAGGCAGCAGUUUGAAAAGUUCCUGGGUCACAUUUAAAGAAAACUGACUCAUUUUAGGGCCUGUGCCAGAGGAGCAGGGGUCUGUUGAAACUUUCUUUGGGUACAGAGAAAUUGGCAGGUAUCUGUUAUUUUUGCUGAUCUUCUACCUAGCUGACCCAGCACUGGCAGAUGCCUUUUUUUUUAUCCUCCCCAUCCACUUUCCAAGCAUCACUAACCCACGUAGGGUUCCCCUGCAAGGCUGCACUAGCCAGUAUUCCUCUAAAGAGGUCCUCCACCCCCCAACUCCUGGUAGAUACUCUCAGGUGAAACCAGGGCACUGCCAAAGUGGCCUCUCUUCCCCAUCGCUCCUAUAAGGAACCAGAGCCCCUCCAAAGUGGCUUUUGCCCCAGAGACUGAACUAGCAUACCAGAGUAUCCAUAAGAGGUGCAGCCAUGCCUUACAGCCAGUAGCACAAGAGGCCAUGCCUAAACACUAACAUGCAUUCAGCAACUGCAACUAGGCCACAAGUAGUAGGAACAUGCAGGCCACACAGGGGACAUUUCUGAAAUACUUGCCUCUGGUUACCAAAAGGGACUGCACUACUGGGCCCCACAGGACACCUUCUACAUAAAGCCACUCCUACAAGAUGGGGAAAUGUAGCUGAUAUUCCUAAUACAUAGAGACAACACAGUAUUAGGCAAAAUUAGGAGACAAAGGAAUAUGUUCCAAGUGAAAGAACAAGAAAAGGUCAGGAAAAGAACUAAAUAAAACAGAGAUAAGCAAUCUACCAGAUAAAGAGUUUAAGAUAAUGGUCAUAAAAAUAUUCACCAAAGUCAGAAGAAUGGAAGAACACAGUGAAAAUUUCAACAAGGAGAUAGGAAAAAAAUCAGAGCUUAAGAGUAGAGUAAUGGGGAGUCCCCAUCAUGGCUCAAUGGAAAUGAAUCUGACUAGCAUCCAUGAGGAUGCAGGUUCAGUACCUGGCCUCACUCAGUGGGUUAAGGAUCUGGCAUUGCUGUGAGCUGUGGCAUAGGUUGCAGACACAGCUUGGAUCUGACAUUGCAGUGGCUGUGAGGUAGGCCAGCAGCUAUAGCUCUGAUUCAACCCCUAGCCUGGGAACCUCCAUAUGCCACAAGAACAGUGCCCAGUAAGAACAACAAGAAAGAAGAAAAAACAACAAUAAAAAAUGAAGAUCCUAUGAGAUGAC
This 5313-nucleotide long non-coding RNA is filed under the name Sus scrofa (pig). RNAcentral describes it as "lncRNA (ENSSSCG00050029742.1)". Lineage: Eukaryota; Metazoa; Chordata; Mammalia; Artiodactyla; Suidae. The record is from RNAcentral.